Molecule: transfer RNA, 71 nt
Filed under: Odontocimbex svenhedini
Lineage: Eukaryota; Metazoa; Arthropoda; Insecta; Hymenoptera; Cimbicidae
Description: tRNA-Ser
Source: RNAcentral
AAUCAAUGAACUUGAAUAAUAAGUAUAUGUUUUGAAAACAUAUUAAAAAAGUUUAAAUCUUUUAUUGAUUU